RNAcentral lists this ribosomal RNA (366 nucleotides) under uncultured bacterium. RNAcentral describes it as "partial 16S ribosomal RNA". It matches the Rfam family "Bacterial small subunit ribosomal RNA", at positions 338 to 696 of the family's 1533-position model. The record is from RNAcentral.
CCUACGUGGGGCAGCAGUGGGGAAUAUUGCGCAAUGGGCGAAAGCCUGACGCAGCGACGCAGCGUGAGGGAUGAAGGUCUUCGGAUCUUUAACCUCCGUUAGCACGGAAGUACGGUCACUGUGCUAUUCAGCUGUGCAUUGACGGUAUCUGCAAAGGCAGCACAGUCUAAGUCCGUGCCAGCGGCUGCGGUAAUACGGCGGUUGCGUGCGUUAAUCGGAUUUACUGGGCGUAAAGCGAGCGUAGGCGGUAUGUCAAGUCUAGGGUGAAAUCCCCGCGCUCAACCUGGGAACUGCCUUUGAAACUGGCAAACUGGAGUGGGGGAGAGGAUAGGGGAAUUCGAGGUGUAGGGGUGAAAUGCGUAGAUA